Molecule: transfer RNA, 93 nt
Filed under: Holosporales bacterium
Lineage: Bacteria; Pseudomonadati; Pseudomonadota; Alphaproteobacteria; Holosporales
Description: tRNA-Ser
Rfam family: tRNA
About the family: Transfer RNA (tRNA) molecules are approximately 80 nucleotides in length.
Source: RNAcentral
GGAGAGAUGGCUGAGUGGCUGAAGGCAACGGUUUGCUAAACCGUCAUACGGGUUAAUUCUGUAUCGAGGGUUCGAAUCCCUCUCUCUCCGCCA